This 31-nucleotide ribosomal RNA is filed under the name fungal sp. 4.34.4C. Its description in RNAcentral is "partial 28S ribosomal RNA". The record is from RNAcentral. Lineage: Eukaryota; Fungi.
UUGACCUCGGAUCAGUUCUGUUCCAUGUGUG